Ipomoea nil (Japanese morning glory) is the source of this 99-nucleotide long non-coding RNA. RefSeq lists it as uncharacterized. The transcript has 3 exons. The record is from RefSeq and is a predicted model, not a curated record. Lineage: Eukaryota; Viridiplantae; Streptophyta; Magnoliopsida; Solanales; Convolvulaceae.
CCGCUUUGCUCUCUUCUUUGGAUGCUCCGGUUCAUGCUCAUAUGUCUUCCUUUAAGCUCAAUUCCCUUCACAAACACUAAACCUAAAUUCCAAGAAUCC